UGGCGCAGCUGAUCAUUCAUCCGCGUGCAGGACGAAGGCCUUCGGGUUGUAAACUGCUUAGUACGGAACGAAAAGCUCUGGGCUAAUACCCCGGGGUCAUGACGGUACCGUAAGAAUAAGCACCAGGCUAACUACGUGCCAGCAGCCGCGGUAAUACGUAGGGUGCAAGCGUUAAUCGGAAUUACUGGGCGUAAAGCGUGCGCAGGCGGUUUUGUAAGACAGAGGUGAAAUCCCCGGGCUCAACCUGGGAACUGCCUUUGUGACUGCAAAGCUGGAGUGCGGCAGAGGGGGAUGGAAUUCCGCGUGUAGCAGUGAAAUGCGUAGAUAUGCGGAGGAACACCGAUGGCGAAGGCAAUCCCCUGGGCCUGCACUGACGCUCAUGCACGACAAGCGUGCGGGAGCAAACACG
RNAcentral lists this ribosomal RNA (409 nucleotides) under uncultured archaeon. Its description in RNAcentral is "bacterial SSU rRNA". It matches the Rfam family "Bacterial small subunit ribosomal RNA", at positions 372 to 776 of the family's 1533-position model. The record is from RNAcentral.